Molecule: transfer RNA, 95 nt
Filed under: Maioricimonas rarisocia
Lineage: Bacteria; Pseudomonadati; Planctomycetota; Planctomycetia; Planctomycetales; Planctomycetaceae
Description: Planctomycetes bacterium Mal4 tRNA-Ala
Source: RNAcentral
UCGCGUUUGGUGUGCGGCGCCCGGACGGCGGUCUGGCCCGCCGCGAGGACGGCCGCAUCUUCUAUGGUCGGCUGUUCGAUUCGAUCGACAGGAAC